AUUGAACGCUGGCGGAAUGCUUUACACAUGCAAGUCGAGCGGCAACGCGGGGCAACCUGGCGGCGAGCGGCGAACGGGUGAGUAACAUAUCGGAACGUACCCAUUGGUGGGGGAUAACACAUCGAAAGAUGUGCUAAUACCGCAUACGACCUGAGGGUGAAAGGGGGGGAUCGCAAGACCUCUCGCCGUUGGAGCGGCCGAUAUCGGAUUAGCUAGUUGGUGAGGUAAAGGCUCACCAAGGCGACGAUCCGUAGCUGGUCUGAGAGGACGACCAGCCACACUGGAACUGAGACACGGUCCAGACUCCUACGGGAGGCAGCAGUGGGGAAUUUUGGACAAUGGGGGCAACCCUGAUCCAGCCAUUCCGCGUGAGGGAAGAAGGCCUUCGGGUUGUAAACCUCUUUCGGCAGGAACGAAAAGGUGGGGGCUAAUACCCUUUAUCAAUGGCGGUACCUGAGGAAGAAGCACCGGCUAACUACGUGCCAGCCGCCGCCGUAA
This 498-nucleotide ribosomal RNA is filed under the name uncultured bacterium. RNAcentral's name for it is "partial 16S ribosomal RNA". It matches the Rfam family "Bacterial small subunit ribosomal RNA", at positions 29 to 523 of the family's 1533-position model. The record is from RNAcentral.